This 71-nucleotide transfer RNA is filed under the name Tetragenococcus muriaticus 3MR10-3. It matches the Rfam family "tRNA". Rfam says of the family: Transfer RNA (tRNA) molecules are approximately 80 nucleotides in length. Their secondary structure includes four short double-helical elements and three loops (D, anti-codon, and T loops). Further hydrogen bonds mediate the characteristic L-shaped molecular structure. tRNAs have two regions of fundamental functional importance: the anti-codon, which is responsible for specific mRNA codon recognition, and the 3' end, to which the tRNAs corresponding amino acid is attached (by aminoacyl-tRNA synthetases). tRNAs cope with the degeneracy of the genetic code in two manners: having more than one tRNA (with a specific anti-codon) for a particular amino acid; and 'wobble' base-pairing, i.e. permitting non-standard base-pairing at the 3rd anti-codon position. Lineage: Bacteria; Bacillati; Bacillota; Bacilli; Lactobacillales; Enterococcaceae. The record is from Rfam by way of RNAcentral.
AGGGACAUAGUUCAAUGGUAGAACAACGGUCUCCAAAACCGUCGAUGCGGGUUCAACUCCUGCUGUCCCUG